CCCAGAUGACCCUGGCUCCUGUCAAGUCGACAGAAACCUAACCAGCCCAAAGGGGCAGGGAGCUAAGAGGAAACGCGGUGAAGGCCAGAGCAUGGAGGAGCAUGAGCAUCAACUCCGUCUCUUCCUCCACUGUGCCUGGGACCCUUUUUUCUUGGGCUGCAGCAUGUGGCCCUAGACCCUUCCUCACACUAAAGGUGCACAUGAAGAGCCGUUCACCUAAGGUUAGCCGAGGAGACUUCUCUGAAACAAUCGUGCUGGCGUUUGGCUGGGCUGAGUGAGCGGCUCUGCCCUUGGACAUGGAAGGAUCCUUCUUUCUGCUGUUACUCUACAGGGCAGCGAUGUGGGGGCGGGGUACAUGGCCUGUAAGGUUUCUCCCCAAAGCUUUUCCUCCACCUCCACCUUCACCAUUUUGCUCCGGAGUGUUGGCCACGCAGCAGCUGGCACACCCCCAGCUCCGAGAAGGAACUGGCUGGCUGUAAUUGCAGAAGACUGAUGAAUUUUGGAUCUGUGCCCUGUCCCCUCUUUGUAACAGCAAUGGAAAGAUGGUUCCCUUUCUUCGUAAGUCCCCAGGGGUUCUGAACUAUAAAGUAACCUCUCAGGAUUGUUAUGAAGGUUCCCUCCCAAUGCAGGGAGGCUCUAACACAACACAUACCACUUGGAUAUUUGGUAACUUGCGAGAACAUCAGUGAUGAGGGCUCUUUCUUCUCCCCUGUAACAAUGUAAGGGUGGGUUUGGAGGGCCAGAGCGGUCCUUGAUGGGAUGAGUAGGCAGAGUGUGGUGGGAAGAACACAGGCUUUCUUUACCUAUUCCCGACAGGAUGGCUUCAUGGAAAACUCUUUCUGAAGAAGUGGGGGAACACAAGCACUCAAGUUCCCCAUUUGGAUUUGAGGUCGAGUGGUGGAGUCUGGGGAACAGAACUUCAACCCUCCAGCAUGUAGGGGAGGGAAGGGAAGUAGGUAGGUGAGCAUGCUCUAAAGCAGUUGGCUGGAUUGCUUGUCCUGUCAGGCGACCUGUGACAAGGGUUUCGUGGUUUAUUCAGUUUGGGAAGCAAAUGAUUUCUUCUUUGAAAGUCAUACUUUGUAUUUGCAUAAUAAAAACCUCCUAGCCGUCCUGCAAUUUAAAAGGGAUUCGUUUCAAUGCCUGGUUUCAUAGGCCAAAACUUACGGAGCGCUUACUGUGUGUUGGUGGCCAUGCCCUGUGCUUUGUAUGAACACUUUGCUCCCCGAAUUACCUCUAAGUUUCAGGGAUUCAUAAUGCUCCAUUUUAUAGAUGUGGAAGCCAGGACUCGGUGGAGGCUGAGUGACUUGCUCAGAGAGAGGAAU
This is a long non-coding RNA of Microtus oregoni (creeping vole), 1322 nucleotides long. RefSeq lists it as uncharacterized. The transcript is spliced from 3 exons. The record is from RefSeq and is a predicted model, not a curated record. NCBI's taxonomy places the organism in Eukaryota, Metazoa, Chordata, Mammalia, Rodentia, Cricetidae.